This 45-nucleotide non-coding RNA is filed under the name Schistosoma margrebowiei. Lineage: Eukaryota; Metazoa; Platyhelminthes; Trematoda; Strigeidida; Schistosomatidae. The record is from RNAcentral.
AUUUAGAUGAAUAGUCCUAAAUAGGACGAAACAUGCGUCCUGGGU